GGUGACCUCGGAUCAGGUAGGGAUACCCGCUGAACUUAAGCAUAUCAAUAAGCGGAGGNAAAGAAACCACCCGGGAUUGCCUCAGUAACGGCGAGUGAAGCGGCAACAGCUCAAAUUUGAAAUCUGGCCCUCGCGGGGUCCGAAUUGUAAUUUGUAGAGGGUGUUUCGGGUGCGGUGCCGGUCUAAGUUCCUUGGAACAGGACGUCAUAGAGGGUGAGAAUCCCGUCUGCGAGUCGGCCACCAACCCCGGGUGAAACCCCUUCGACGAGUCGAGUUGUUUGGGAAUGCAGCUCAAAAUGGGUGGUAAAUUUCAUCUAAAGCUAAAUACCGGCCAGAGACCGAUAGCGCACAAGUAGAGUGAUCGAAAGAUGAAAAGCACUUUGGAAAGAGAGUUAAAAAGUACGUGAAAUUGUUGAAAGGGAAGCGCUUGCGACCAGACCUGCCCCCGGGUGAUCAUCCGCCAUUCGUGGCGGUGCACUCGCCCGGACGCAGGCCAGCAUCGGUUCGGGCGGCGGGACAAAGGACUCGGGAACGUAGCUCUCUCCGGGGAGCCUUAUAGCCCGGGUCGCCAUGCCGCCCGCCUGGACCGAGGACCGCGCUUCGGCUAGGAUGCUGGCGUAAUGGUCGUAAGCGACCCGUCUUGAAACACGGACCAAGGAGUCUNCCAUCCAUGCGAGUGUUUGGGUGUCAAACCCAGGCGCGGAAUGAAAGUGAACGGAGGUGAGACCCCGCAAGGGCGCAUCAUCGACCGAUCCAGAUGUCUUCGGAUGGAUUUGAGUACGAGCAUGGCUGGUGGGACCCGAAAGAUGAUGAACUAUGCCUGAAUAGGGUGAAGCCAGAGGAAACUCUGGUGGAGGCUCGCAGCGGUUCUGACGUGCAAAUCGAUCGUCGAAUUUGGGUAUAGGGGCGAAAGACCAAUCGAAUCAU
Molecule: ribosomal RNA, 927 nt
Filed under: Psoroma tenue
Lineage: Eukaryota; Fungi; Ascomycota; Lecanoromycetes; Peltigerales; Pannariaceae
Description: eukaryotic LSU rRNA
Rfam family: Eukaryotic large subunit ribosomal RNA
Source: RNAcentral